RNAcentral lists this long non-coding RNA (1532 nucleotides) under Carica papaya (papaya). RNAcentral describes it as "long non-coding RNA (CPAP_LNC003919)". The record is from RNAcentral. Lineage: Eukaryota; Viridiplantae; Streptophyta; Magnoliopsida; Brassicales; Caricaceae.
GACUCGGGCUCCAUUAGCGACCUUAAACAAUUUCACACAUCUGUUGAUUCAUGAAAUACCGUUUUAUCAUUUAUUGAACUUUAAUACCGUGAUAGGAAAUAGGGUGAGGGGUCCUCACUCGUUUUGGGGUCCGAAUGCGGCUUAACGGUGCGCCUACAGGCUGUCCCUAAUUUUCCCUGAAUUUUUCGGGAAACUGAAACGCACUAACGGUACCUGCACGCGUUCCAAAAAAUCUCAAAUUAGGCACAGGGCCCCUUUUUGGCCAAUAUUGCAAUUCUGGCACGGCGACUCCCCCGUGCUCCGGCGGCGGUGAUUCGCCUCGGGUUGGCCGUUUUUGGCCGUUUCCGGCCAAAUUCGGCCACACUUGCAUCGGUCCCUACGAUAAAACAACCCUAGGGCCCUUGAGAAGCCAAAAAAUUACGGAAAACCGAAGCUUACCGGCGGCGGUGCUCUCGGGUGCGACGGCUCUCCGGUGAGGUUCGUGCUUUGGUGAUUCGGCUCCGAUCAAUUGUGCAAUGAAGGUUGGGUCUCGGUGAUGAUAAGCUGCAAUGUAUAUGAUUGCCGCUCGAAAAUUAAGGACAGUAGAGAGAGAGCUUCUUCUGUGACAGAGAUGGCCUGAGCUGCUUGGAGUCGCGCUGAAGAAAAUACAGAGAUGGGUGAUAUUUGUGCUUAUGUCAAUAAGUAGAGGCCAGUAAUUGGUUCUACGAGUAGAAGGAAAAUAAAGAAUGAGAAGAACAAUUUGAGGGGAUUUUUCUAAGUAUUUUGCGAAGAGUCCAUGGAGAAUAUGAGCUCUCUCUCUCUUCUCGGCCUCCUCUCUCUCUCUACGCCCCUUUAGCCUCAAGGAUUCCUCCUUUCUCUUUUUUCGAGUUUCGUUCUUUAUAAUGGAGCGAAGCUGUUUAGAUCAGCAUCCCCGCACUGAAGAUUCUCCAAAAAUCACGAAAACCCAUUUCUUCCCGCUCGCGACGUGCACGUCCUUCCUUCCUUCUUCUUCUCCCGUUUUCUGCGCCACUACGCUGCUUAUAGUGGAGCGAAGCUGUUUAGAUCAGCAUCCUCGCACUGAAGAUUCUCCAAAAAUCACGAAAACCCAUCUCUUCCCGCUCGCGACGUGCACGUCUUUGCUUCCUUCUUCUUCUCCCGUUCUCUGCGCCACCACGCUUUUUUUUUUUUUUUUUGGCUGGAUAAAUAAUUAAUGAGGAAAUUACAAAAAUGCCCACGUUCUGGGCGUUACACAUGCUCUAGGGCUCAAGGGCAUGAAUGGUGGCAACUUGAGAGACCUGAGAGAUUUAUAUUUGUAUUUAAUAUUUAUGAAUGUAUGUUUGUAUUUAUUUAAUAACAAGGCAUGACUAAUUGAUAUCCCGUUUGCCCUCUCUAGAAAUAGGUGUAAGCGGCUGACCAUGUAGGUUUGCAAUCAGUGUAAUAUAAAUUAGAUAAUAAAUUAGUAUUAAAAACAUUGUGUCAAAAGAUAAGUUUCAUCCUGCGUGCGUGAGUUGUGUAAACCCAUUGAAUACAGUGUUGAGCGUCUUCAUGAGGAU